AGUCACCAGGGACCUUGACAGGUGGCUCAGUGCAGAGCUGGACGCUGAGGAGUGAGGGUGUGUGCAGGCGGCGAGUGUAGACUGUCCUUGGGGGAAUCUUGGCCAUAGGAAGAAGAGGCAGAGACUGAGAACUUUGUGCUGCUUGAUUUGUUUUGCUUCUGGAGGACAUGGGUUUCUUAAACAGAAUUCACAGGCUGUCAGGAAGAGUUGGUGCAGAAGAUUUGAAGACUUGGGAAAGCAAUGAAAAUUGAUGGAAAAAUGUGAAUGUCUGGGAAGAAUUAGGAAGGAGAGGGUCAAGGACCAGAGGUAGUAGCAGUGAUGGCUGAUUACCUUCAAAGUGUACAAGCAUACCUUGGAGCUACAGAUGGUUUACUUCCAGACAACUACAAAAAAAGAAGCAUUUCAUGGAAUAGAUGCACCACCAUGUGUUCAUCCAUUCACCAGGUGAAAGACAUUUAGCUUAUUUACAUUUCUUGGCAAAUAUGAUUGGGACUGCCAUAAACAUUCAUGUGCAAGUCUGGGUGAAUUGGCUGUAUCACUGGAUUCCCACCAACAACGGAUGCGAAUUCCAGUUGCUUUGCUGUACAGUUCCUGACCGUGGAGUGGCCUUUGGAGCUGGGACUUGGCUUUACUCCGUGCCAGAACACCAAUGAGGGUCUCCAGGACUGAAACCGGCCCUCACGUGCACCUCCGCACAGGAGAGCGCUCUGUGGUCUGGCCCCAGCUUCCUUCUGCAGUCCCAUGAGUGUAUGAGUUCUUCUAGAGUCACAGUGCACUCCCUCCACUGGGCGACCUCUCCCACUGGGCGACCUCCCCCGCACCUCUGCACGGGCUUUGCAUUUUCAUCUGUAUUGUUUGGCUGCCACUGUUUGAGCCUUUCUCUGUGUAAAGUGCUCUGCUGAGCACUGUCUUAUUCUUAAUUACUAUUGUUAAACACUUCAAACAUUAUAUAAGCACCUUCUUAUUCUUAAUUAUUAUUAAAUAUUUCAAACACAAUACGUGAUAAUAGUAUCCCAAUGUACUUCUUAACUCCAAUUUGAUAAAUCAGUAUUUGUCCCCUUUUCCUUCAGAUCCAUUUGUUUUGAGAAUUAAAACUUUCAAAUAUGUCGGAGUCCUUCCCUCCCCACUCCC
Long non-coding RNA from Manis pentadactyla (Chinese pangolin), 1131 nucleotides. RefSeq lists it as uncharacterized. The record is from RefSeq and is a predicted model, not a curated record. The transcript has 4 exons. NCBI's taxonomy places the organism in Eukaryota, Metazoa, Chordata, Mammalia, Pholidota, Manidae.